GAUGAACGCUGGCGGCGUGCCUAAUACAUGCAAGUCGAGCGAACGGACGAGAAGCUUGCUUCUCUGAUGUUAGCGGCGGACGGGUGAGUAACACGUGGAUAACCUACCUAUAAGACUGGGAUAACUUCGGGAAACCGGAGCUAAUACCGGAUGAUAUUUUGAACCGCAUGGUUCAAAAGUGAAAGACGGUCUUGCUGUCACUUAUAGAUGGAUCCGCGCUGCAUUAGCUAGUUGGUAAGGUAACGGCUUACCAAGGCAACGAUGCAUAGCCGACCUGAGAGGGUGAUCGGCCACACUGGAACUGAGACACGGUCCAGACUCCUACGGGAGGCAGCAGUAGGGAAUCUUCCGCAAUGGGCGAAAGCCUGACGGAGCAACGCCGCGUGAGUGAUGAAGGUCUUCGGAUCGUAAAACUCUGUUAUUAGGGAGGAGCAUAUGUGUAAGUAACUGUGCACAUCUUGACGGUACCUAAUCAGAAAGCCACGGCUAACUACGUG
RNAcentral lists this ribosomal RNA (497 nucleotides) under uncultured bacterium. Its description in RNAcentral is "partial 16S ribosomal RNA". It matches the Rfam family "Bacterial small subunit ribosomal RNA", at positions 28 to 507 of the family's 1533-position model. The record is from RNAcentral.